RNAcentral lists this unclassified non-coding RNA (211 nucleotides) under plant metagenome. RNAcentral describes it as "partial contains small subunit ribosomal RNA, internal transcribed spacer 1, and 5.8S ribosomal RNA". The record is from RNAcentral.
UUUCCGUAGGUGAACCUGCGGAAGGAUCAUUCAUAAUAAAGUGUUUUAUGGCACUUUUUGAAAAUCCAUAUCCACCUUGUGUGCAAUGUUAGAUCUCGUCAAUCUUGGCGAGAUUUUUAUACAUCAACUCAUUCUUUAACUAAUUUGUCUGAAAAAUAUUAUGAAUACUUAAUUCAAAAUACAACUUUCAACAACGGAUCUCUUGGCUCUC